UCGUGGGGGUUGUGAGGUGGAUCACCAACCCCAUCAACCCUGGUGUCGGGUGGUUUUAAUCUAAUAGCAUUCUUUCCAUAGGAAAAUAAACAAUAAUUUAUAUCACCUGAAUGUCGUGGAUAAUUAAUAGCACGUGGUUUUCAGGUUUUGUGCCCUGUUGAUGGUAAUAGGCUCACCCCUAGUAUAUGGGAGUUAAACUGAGCGGCGAGCAGUAGGUGCAUAUUAUACAUUUACUUACUCCUUCGGGCAGUUAGGCAUGAUGCUAUCUCAUCUAUGGUGAGGGUUGUGAGGUGGAUUACCAACCUCAUCAACCCUGGUGUCAGGGUUACUAUUAAGCCGCCAAAGGCAGGCCAAAGGACAUAGCUCAUGUAACGACUACGUACUUACGUCAGUAAGUAUAGGUCUACCAGCAUCUGAUGGCAUAAAAAAAGUAAAAAAAAUAUUGAUUUUCCUAUGGUAAUAUUAAACUGUCUCCUGUCAUGUCGAAGUACAUGUUUUGUCAACAAUACUGAGAUUUUCCAAAGAUUCCUUGAAACUAUUCUGAAUUUCAUAAGAAUGUCGAAAAAAACCACUUCGAUCACAAGCAAGAAAGAUUGUUUACAUUGUUUAUUGUAAAAUUAGUGAAGAAGCAGUUGGAGAUCAACCGCAAUCUUCGAUUUUAAAUCGCGUCCAAAGUUGACCGGAGUUCCUAGCACUACCAUACGACGAAUAAUUGCUGAAGGUAGACCGAAUGGAAGUGUAUUUAGUGCACCCGGUAAAAAGAAGAGAGGUGGAAAGAAAACAAAUAACCAGGAGAGUUUUGAUUUGGAAAUAGCAUAAUAUAAGUGAUCUUUUCAUAAAUA
Pectinophora gossypiella (pink bollworm) is the source of this 842-nucleotide long non-coding RNA. RefSeq lists it as uncharacterized. NCBI's taxonomy places the organism in Eukaryota, Metazoa, Arthropoda, Insecta, Lepidoptera, Gelechiidae. The record is from RefSeq and is a predicted model, not a curated record. The transcript has 2 exons.